CGUUAACAUUUUCAUGUAUCCAUCCAUUGUUUUGCAUGUUACGCUGAUUUACGUAUGUAUCAUUGAUAAUUGUUAUUAUAUUUUAUCUGUCUCCAGUUUUAUUAAUAGCUUCAAUAAUGGCUACACCAUGACUAUGCGUAAAAGUAAAAAAUAUUCAUGCUUAGUAUUCAUGCUUAGAAGAAACUAAUGAGAAGGAAACGGCUCAAAUCUGUAAGUACACCUUUUUUAGUAAUUUCAAGUAAAAGCUGUGUAUGUACACGUAUUACAUAGUUAUAUAUUUUAUUACGUUCGACAUAAUAAGAUAGGAUACACGCAUUACCAAUUGUAAAUGAUUUUGACUGGAGAUUGUCAAAUUUUUUUGAUACUACCUUGAAUAGUGUCGUGACGUAUUCACCUGCUUGAUUAAUUUCUUUCAUUGUCAUUAAGAAUAAGACGGAGGAUAACACGUUUAGACGUGUACACAAUAAUAGAUGAUAAAGGCUUCUCCUUUUUAUUUAAACAGGAACCAAUGAAUCCGAAAAAUUCUCAUGUCCUGUGCCACGAUGCAAAAUCGAUUCAAGUACCUAUCUACUUACAUAGAAGACAUAUCGAUCGCUGUAUCGUAUUUAUACUCGUGCUCGUGGUACUUACGAUUCUUUUGCGAUCACCGUUAUUAUUUUACUAUUUUUGUAGCAUAAAUCGUAUAUAUUUCUUGUGAAUGAUUCUAAUGAAAUGAAAGCACUUUAUAUAUAAGAGAUUCGGACCUAUGAAAAUAUAAUUUUAAGCGAUACGAGCAGAGGAUAUUACAGAUUGAGUAUAUUUUUUUAAAAACCGGAAGGCAUUACAAACUUGUUACAUACUAACUUUUCCAGAUAAGUAUUUCUUCCGCUAACCAUACCUAUAUAUAUAUAUAUAUUUAGUAUUUACUUACUUAUGCGUGUGUAUAUCCCAAUGUGAACGGUUUCAAGGUCUACAUAUGUAAGUAAUUGCUUCGAACUUGUUAACACCUCUUUUCGAAACAACUAAUUCAAAAGUUGUUACUUCUCCUCCGGAAAUACGUAAACGAAGGCAAUGUUUAGCCAUUGGGACUAGGAUUUUAAUUUCAAACAGAUCCUGGUUCUCUUAGCUUUGCAGUUGUAGGUUUGUACGUGUUUGAAGAUGAGAUGGGAAAAAGAGAUAUCUUUAUAUCUAUGAAAGUUUAGACACAAAUUAAGUCAGCUAGUGACAUUGAUCGAUGUAAGUAAAUGACAUGAUAUAUAGUUGAGAGUUGGUCCAGAUACCAUACCUAACAACGGCAUGGCCGCAUCGCGUGCGUGCGUGCGAAUUUAUUGUUAGUCACGCAGAAGCCGUGCAUUUCUCACAUGUUCGUGAACGAAUGUCAUGCUCAAGGUAAGAAUUGUUCUUUUAUUCGGGUCGAUUCUAUUUAUCGUUUAAAAAAAGAAAAACAACACACAUGUAUAUGUAUGCAGAAGAUAAUAAUCGUAAAUAAAAAAGUUGAACGUCUCUUUUAUAGAAAAAUUAAUUUAGAGUUAAUAAGAUGAACUAUUGAUUGCCGAUUGUGAAAUUGCCGUCUCUAUAAAUUUAAAUGAUUUUAAGCUGUUUUAUGAGUGCAAACGAACGAUACAAUUACUUUCAUUUUAGAACUUUGCGACCUAUGUUGAUAAAGGAACAAAUAUUUUACUGGAUGAUUAAAGUGUUCGCAACGGUUCUUUGGAAUUCGAAUAAGAUCUUAAAUAGGUGGAUGCGCGAUUGUUCUUUUGAUCAUCGUUCGACCGUCUUUUCGCACAUGUUUAAUAAAAAUCGAGUAAUGAAAUUUCGAAAUGCUUAAAUUACUAACUCCAUUCGCCAGAGGGCAUAAUUUAAGUUUAAACGUCUAUUUUUAAACGACCCCACUCUGUGUGUGUGCGUGCGUGCGCGCGCGCGCGCGCUCGCGCUCCCGUGUGCGUGUCAUGAAACGUAAAGUAGUAUCUUUCUCCGCGCCAAGGUAUUUUUCUAAGUAGCUUUGCUGCUUGUAAAUUUUAGUCAGUGUCAAUGUUAAGCAUCUUUGUUGCGAUCAUUCAUCUCUGCUUCUUUUUCCCAUAGACAUGUUUAAGUUAUAAAAACUUGAAAGUUAUACAUAUAUUAUGUAUUACGUAUAUAUUAUAUGGAUACAAUCGAACACGUUCGUAAAGGUAAAAACAAGUGGCGGGUUAGAGAACGCAAAGAAGAUAUAGAAACAUAUAGAAAAGGAACACAAGUUUCUUUCCUGGAAAGGAAGGAUAGAAAGGAAAAGAAGUUGAGUAGGAAGUCGAAAUUUGAGGGU
Molecule: long non-coding RNA, 2281 nt
Organism: Bombus pyrosoma
Lineage: Eukaryota; Metazoa; Arthropoda; Insecta; Hymenoptera; Apidae
Exons: 3
Source: RefSeq, a predicted model, not a curated record